Molecule: ribosomal RNA, 402 nt
Filed under: uncultured bacterium
Lineage: Bacteria
Description: bacterial SSU rRNA
Rfam family: Bacterial small subunit ribosomal RNA
Source: RNAcentral
AACGAACGCUGGCGGCGCGCCUAAUACAUGCAAGUCGAGCGAGAAGACGUAGCAAUACGUUUGUAAAGCGGCGAACGGGUGAGGAAUACAUGGGUAACCUACCCUCGAGUGGGGAAGUAACUAGCCGAAGGUUAGCUAAUACCGCGUACGCUCCUUGGACUUCGGUUUCAGGGAGGAAAGACGAUACCGUGGGCAUCGCGCUCUUGGAUGGGCGUCAUGUCCUAUCAGCUUGUUGGUGAGGUAACGGCUCACCAAGGCUUCGACGGGUAGCUGGUCUGAGAGGACGAUCAGCCACACUGGCACUGCGACACGGGCCAGACUCCUACGGGAGGCAGCAGUAAGGAAUAUUGCGCAAUGGGCGAAAGCCUGACGCAGCGACGCCGCGUGGGGGAGUGAAGGUCG